GACGAACGCUGGCGGCGUGCUUAACACAUGCAAGUCGAACGGAAAGGCCCUGCUUUUGUGGGGUGCUCGAGUGGCGAACGGGUGAGUAACACGUGAGUAACCUGCCCUUGACUUGGGAUAACUUCAGGAAACUGGGGCUAAUACCGGAUAGGAGCUCCUGCUGCAUGGUGGGGGGUGGAAAGUUUCGGCGGUUGGGGAUGGACUCGCGGCUUAUCAGCUUGUUGGUGGGGUAGUGGCUUACCAAGGCUUUGACGGGUAGCCGGCCUGAGAGGGUGACCGGCCACAUUGGGACUGAGAUACGGCCCAGACUCCUACGGGAGGCAGCAGUGGGGAAUAUUGCACAAUGGGCGGAAGCCUGAUGCAGCAACGCCGCGUGCGGGAUGACGGCCUUCGGGUUGUAAACCGCUUUCGCCUGUGACGAAGCGUGAGUGACGGUAAUGGGUAAAGAAGCACCGGCUAACUACGUG
This 467-nucleotide ribosomal RNA is filed under the name uncultured bacterium. RNAcentral's name for it is "partial 16S ribosomal RNA". It matches the Rfam family "Bacterial small subunit ribosomal RNA", at positions 28 to 507 of the family's 1533-position model. The record is from RNAcentral.